This 119-nucleotide ribosomal RNA is filed under the name Pteropus alecto (black flying fox). The record is from RNAcentral. Lineage: Eukaryota; Metazoa; Chordata; Mammalia; Chiroptera; Pteropodidae.
GUCUACAGCCAUGCCACCCUGAACAUGCCCAAUCCCAUCUGAUCUCGGAAGCUAAGCAAGGUCAGGCCUGGUUAGUACUUGGAUGGGAGACCACCUAGGAAGUCCAGGUGCUGUAGGUG